UGGAAGGGACCACUGCCUUUAUUGCCUCUGUGCUGGGGUCCCAGCCUGGGGUUCAGAGCCUAGUGGCCUGGGAGGGCGACGGGGCACCCAGCUCAGGCCCAGCCUCGGAGGCAAGGUUUGAGGGUUGGGGGGUCCCUGAGCAUCAGCCCUGCUUCUGCCGCUGGCUGAGGAGGAGCAGAAGCCUGGUCCCAAGACAGCAGGAAGAAAGCAGGACCCUCGCUAGGCGGCCAGAUGGCCUGAGGCCCACCCAGACAGGGACGGGACCUGCCCUGGGUCGCUCAGCCAGGCAGGGACAGCAGGGACCAGAAUCCAGGUCUCCUGAGCCAGGCAGAAGCCAAAGUAGCU
RNAcentral lists this long non-coding RNA (345 nucleotides) under Homo sapiens (human). Its description in RNAcentral is "non-protein coding lnc-C20orf144-1:1". Lineage: Eukaryota; Metazoa; Chordata; Mammalia; Primates; Hominidae. The record is from RNAcentral.